Molecule: ribosomal RNA, 441 nt
Filed under: uncultured bacterium
Lineage: Bacteria
Description: partial 16S ribosomal RNA
Rfam family: Bacterial small subunit ribosomal RNA
Source: RNAcentral
GCUACGGGGGGCAGCAGUGGGGAAUAUUGCACAAUGGGGGAAACCCUGAUGCAGCGACGCCGCGUGAGUGAAGAAGUAUUUCGGUAUGUAAAGCUCUAUCAGCAGGGAAGAAAAUGACGGUACCUGACUAAGAAGCCCCGGCUAACUACGUGCCAGCAGCCGCGGUAAUACGUAGGGGGCAAGCGUUAUCCGGAUUUACUGGGUGUAAAGGGAGCGUAGACGGCGGAACAAGUCAGAAGUGAAAACCCGGGGCUCAACCCUGGGAGUGCUUUUGAAACUGUUUGGCUGGAUGGCAGGAGAGGUAAGCGGAAUUCCUAGGGUAGCGGUGAAAUGCGUAGAUAUUAGGAGGAACACCAGUGGCGAAGGCGGCCUGCUGGACGGUGACUGACGCUGAGGCUCGAAAGCGUGGGGAGCAAACAGGAUUAGAUACCCGUGUAGUUC